RNAcentral lists this ribosomal RNA (411 nucleotides) under uncultured bacterium. RNAcentral's name for it is "bacterial SSU rRNA". It matches the Rfam family "Bacterial small subunit ribosomal RNA", at positions 355 to 775 of the family's 1533-position model. The record is from RNAcentral.
UCGAGAAUCUUCGGCAAUGGGCGCAAGCCUGACCGAGCGACGCCGCGUGGAGGAUGAAGGCCUUCGGGUUGUAAACUUCUGUCGAGGGGGGGGAAGGCGUAAGCUUGACCGAUCCCUGGAGGAAGCACGGGCUAAGUUCGUGCCAGCAGCCGCGGUAAGACGAACCGUGCGAACGUUAUUCGGAAUUACUGGGCUUAAAGCGCGUGUAGGCGGACCGGCACGUCGGUUGUUGAAAGCCCCCGGCUCAACCGGGGAAGUGGCACCGAUACGGCCGGUCUGGAGGAAGGUAGGGGGGUCUGGAACUUCCGGUGGAGCGGUGAAAUGCGUUGAGAUCGGAAGGAACGCCCGUGGCGAAAGCGAGGCCCUGGACCUUUUCUGACGCUGAGACGCGAAAGCCAGGGGAGCGAACGG